GCUCGCAUAGUUCAGUUGGUUAGAGCACCCGUUUAGUAAGCGGGGAGGUCAGGUCUUGAGUUCGAAUCUCAAUGAAAGCA
Molecule: transfer RNA, 80 nt
Filed under: Amborella trichopoda
Lineage: Eukaryota; Viridiplantae; Streptophyta; Magnoliopsida; Amborellales; Amborellaceae
Rfam family: tRNA
About the family: Transfer RNA (tRNA) molecules are approximately 80 nucleotides in length. Their secondary structure includes four short double-helical elements and three loops (D, anti-codon, and T loops). Further hydrogen bonds mediate the characteristic L-shaped molecular structure. tRNAs have two regions of fundamental functional importance: the anti-codon, which is responsible for specific mRNA codon recognition, and the 3' end, to which the tRNAs corresponding amino acid is attached (by aminoacyl-tRNA synthetases). tRNAs cope with the degeneracy of the genetic code in two manners: having more than one tRNA (with a specific anti-codon) for a particular amino acid; and 'wobble' base-pairing, i.e. permitting non-standard base-pairing at the 3rd anti-codon position.
Source: Rfam by way of RNAcentral